UGGGGAAUAUUGCACAAUGGGCGCAAGCCUGAUGCAGCAACGCCGCGUGAGUGAUGAAGGCUUUCGGGUCGUAAAACUCUGUCCUAAGGGAAGAACAAAUGACGGUACCUUAGGAGGAAGCCCCGGCAAACUACGUGCCAGCAGCCGCGGUAAUACGUAGGGGGCAAGCAUUAUCCGGAAUCACUGGGCGUAAAGGGUGCGUAGGCGGCUGAGCAAGCCAGGGGUGAAAGGCAGUAGCUUAACUAUUGUAAGCCUUUGGAACUGUUCAGCUUGAGUGUAGGAGAGGUAAGUGGAAUUCCUAGUGUAGCGGUGAAAUGCGUAGAUAUUAGGAGGAACACCAGUGGCGAAGGCGACUUACUGGACUAUAACUGACGCUGAGGCACGAAAGCGUGGGGAGCAAACA
Molecule: ribosomal RNA, 403 nt
Filed under: uncultured bacterium
Lineage: Bacteria
Description: bacterial SSU rRNA
Rfam family: Bacterial small subunit ribosomal RNA
Source: RNAcentral